AUAGGAAAACAAAAUUCAUAUAAGUAGAAUCUCCCAAAAAAUAAAAGCAUUGUCAAAUUGAGUUACAAACUAAUAAUAAUUUCAUCAAAGUUUGUAAACUAAAGAUUGUCCUAAUAUCAAAAAGUUUCCAAUAAAACACUUAUGCCAGAUAAUUUAUAGAACCUAGUAAUAUCCAACUGAAUUCUCCCCUGCAAAUAAUUAAAAUUUUCAAGUUAGUCAAUAAGAAAAAACAGCCAUCAAUCAUAAUAAGAAGCAACAACAAAUUACACUAAAAAAAUAGCAGAAAAAAGCACCAAAACAACAAAUAUAAACAAGAAACAACAAUAAAAAAAAAACCCAAAAAUGGCAAAAAGAGAUGCUCAAAGCAGCAAUAAAUUUAUAAAAAAUACCCUAAAAUAGCAAGAAAACUACCUAAAACCAGAAAAAAAAAAUCUAAAAUAGCAGCAAAAUCUUCCAUUGCCAGAUAAAGCUAUGAAAGAAAAGAAAUAAAAUUCAUAAAGAGUCAAAGCUAACAUACUGACCACUUGCUAGAAAUUAAGCUAUAAAUCCCAAAUUUUUACACAAAUUAAUAUCUGAAACAAGAUUGGUUUGAUAUAUGAUAGUCAAGUAAAAUACCUAUAAAGUAGUACAAAAUCAGCAAACCUAAUGGCUUCACUCCACUCAUUUUCUUAAGACUCCAGUGAUGAGAAGCUGCCAACAGAAUGAUAAAUUGAGGUUUGACAGGAAGCACACAAACUAAACAAGAUACAUAACAACUUUGUUAUCCAUGUUACACCCUAGAACCAUUUCUAGGAAUAUUUGUUAGAAUAGCCACCAUAACAGUUGAUGAGCAACAUAAAACAGAGACAACAACAAAACCAGCAACCUGCAAAGUGCCAAUUCUUCCAUAAUUAAAUCAGAUAGACAAUAGAAAUAAUUUACUAUUAAAAUCCCAAAUUCAUUUUAUCUUCUUCCUGCAUUUUCUCAUCAAUCAAACAUAAAAGAGAGCUCCUAUCGACAUAUGCAAACAGCACCCACCAUCUUGUCACAUUCAAACACAACCCAAGAUCACAAAAGUUAAUUUUCCAGAUUUAGUUAACCAAAGAAAAUAUACCAUCAAUUGGAUCACCUUAUAAAUCAAAUACAAUUACACGAUAUUACCAACCUCCCAAAAAAAAAAGGCACAAACUUUAAAAUGAAAACAACACCACCAUGAAAAAUAAGCAAAAGUGGGUAUUUGAAUCAAACAUGAUAGAAUGCAACAAAAGCAAAAAAGCUUUCCAUAGAAGCCAGAGCCAGAUUGGGUACAAGCAAGCUAGGAUGUACCAAUUAAAGAUGCUUCAUUCAAGAACAGAAAAGCUACCAGAAUGAUAAAAGUAGAAAAAAUGAAACAAUAAAUAGAAAAUUGGGUGAAGCUGCAACAAUAGUUUCAAUCACUUAACAGUACCAGCAAACUUAUAGUCAACUUUAAGAACUAGAUGUUUAAGCCACAGAUAACGGGGACGUACCCAUGAGGAUAAAGACACAAGCGUGAGACCAGCAAAGCCGCCCAUCCUUAACUUGUGCAGCAGACAAAGUCGAAUGAAAAAGGAGGCAACGACGGUAGCGACGGAAACGGCUGGAUCGGAAGCGAACAGCUCAAGAUGAAAGCAACAAGUUAAUGGAUUGGAUUGUGUGCGCGUGAUGUGGCUUCGUUUUUAUUUGGUUAGUCAAGAAAUCGAAGAGAGAAAUUUGUGAUUUCUGAGAGAGAGGCAAGAAAUUGAGAGAGAUUGGGCGCGGUUGAAACACCUAAAUUAUUAAAAUAUAAAUUUUGCAGCGUUUGGGAACUGGUUGCUUCGGUUGCCCUUUUUUUGUUUUUUUAUUUCUUUUCAAU
This 1852-nucleotide long non-coding RNA is filed under the name Citrus maxima (pomelo). RNAcentral's name for it is "long non-coding RNA (CMAX_LNC001793)". Lineage: Eukaryota; Viridiplantae; Streptophyta; Magnoliopsida; Sapindales; Rutaceae. The record is from RNAcentral.